UGCAUCUGGGGCCUGCGAGGAUGAGAACCUCCGGGGGCAGGAGGUUCGACUCGAGCGAAGCGAGAGAACGUUGCGUCAG
Molecule: small RNA, 79 nt
Filed under: Klebsiella pneumoniae
Lineage: Bacteria; Pseudomonadati; Pseudomonadota; Gammaproteobacteria; Enterobacterales; Enterobacteriaceae
Description: partial RtT sRNA
Rfam family: RtT RNA
About the family: This family represents a bacterial cis-regulatory element known as RtT RNA. The exact function of RtT is unknown although it is thought that it may be involved in changing the cellular response in relation to amino acid starvation.
Source: RNAcentral